Molecule: ribosomal RNA, 253 nt
Filed under: uncultured bacterium
Lineage: Bacteria
Description: partial 16S ribosomal RNA
Rfam family: Bacterial small subunit ribosomal RNA
Source: RNAcentral
UACGGAGGGGGCUAGCGUUGUUCGGAAUUACUGGGCGUAAAGCGCACGUAGGCGGCUCUGUAAGUUAGAGGUGAAAGCCCGGGGCUCAACUCCGGAAUUGCCUUUAAGACUGCAUCGCUAGAAUUGUGGAGAGGUAAGUGGAAUUCCGAGUGUAGAGGUGAAAUUCGUAGAUAUUCGGAAGAACACCAGUGGCGAAGGCGACUUACUGGACACAUAUUGACGCUGAGGUGCGAAAGCGUGGGGAGCAAACAGG